Long non-coding RNA from Sander lucioperca (pikeperch), 99 nucleotides. RefSeq lists it as uncharacterized. The transcript has 4 exons. NCBI's taxonomy places the organism in Eukaryota, Metazoa, Chordata, Actinopteri, Perciformes, Percidae. The record is from RefSeq and is a predicted model, not a curated record.
AUUUCAGUAGCUACCCAAAUUGACUUGGCAAGACUGCUUUUUCGUUUGCUGCUCCACAUUCCUGGAAUGCUGCACAAAGCAUUAAAAUCGGUCUGUCCC